Molecule: long non-coding RNA, 421 nt
Filed under: Amazona collaria (yellow-billed parrot)
Lineage: Eukaryota; Metazoa; Chordata; Aves; Psittaciformes; Psittacidae
Description: lncRNA (ENSACOG00000010288.1)
Source: RNAcentral
CGUUUCUGCGUAUAACCUGUAUAAAUCACACUUUCUGGGCCCUCCAGGUGUGUUUGCAGCUCAUGGGAAGCACCCACACACGUUUGCACCGGGACUCGAGGGGAGCACCGUAGGAAAUGUGACCCACGGCUGCACCUCGGGAUGGGGCACAUCGAGGGCUUCAAUGGACCGGUGCUGCCGGCUCCGUGCCUGCUGCUACGCCAGGCUGGCGGCACGGCGCUGCCGCGUGGGACCCGUCCAGCCCUUCUCUGUGCCCCGGGCAGGAGUGCCCACCUGCAGGACCGGGACCUGGUGCCAGAGGGGCGCAUGCCGGUGCGAGCGGGCAGCCCUGCUCUGCCGCAUGCGCCGCCGGUGGCAGCUCCGGCGCCGCGCCAAGUGCCGGGGGCAAGGCGGGCGGUGUUGAAGCCAAAGGGCUCCUUGC